RNAcentral lists this ribosomal RNA (269 nucleotides) under uncultured prokaryote. RNAcentral describes it as "partial 16S ribosomal RNA". It matches the Rfam family "Bacterial small subunit ribosomal RNA", at positions 524 to 792 of the family's 1533-position model. The record is from RNAcentral.
UACGUAGGUGGCGAGCGUUGUCCGGAUUUACUGGGCGUAAAGGGAGCGUAGGCGGACUUUUAAGUGAGAUGUGAAAUACCCGGGCUCAACUUGGGUGCUGCAUUUCAAACUGGAAGUCUAGAGUGCAGGAGAGGAGAAUGGAAUUCCUAGUGUAGCGGUGAAAUGCGUAGAGAUUAGGAAGAACACCGGUGGCGAAGGCGAUUCUCUGGACUGUAACUGACGCUGAGGCUCGAAAGCGUGGGGAGCAAACAGGAUUAGAUACCCUGGUA